This 299-nucleotide signal recognition particle RNA is filed under the name Aotus nancymaae (Ma's night monkey). Its description in RNAcentral is "Metazoan signal recognition particle RNA (ENSANAG00000004689.1)". It matches the Rfam family "Metazoan signal recognition particle RNA". Rfam says of the family: The signal recognition particle (SRP) is a universally conserved ribonucleoprotein. Lineage: Eukaryota; Metazoa; Chordata; Mammalia; Primates; Aotidae. The record is from RNAcentral.
GCUGGGCAUGGUGGUGUAUGCCUGUAGUCCCAGCUACUCAGGAGGCUGGGGUGGGAGGACCGCUUGAGCCCAGGAGUUCUGGGCUGUAGUACACUAUGCUGAUCGGGUGUCUGCACCAAGUUCGGCAUCAAUAUGGUGACCUCCCGGGAGUGGGGGACCACCAGGUUGCCUAAGGAGGGGUGAACUGGCCCAGGUAGGAAACGAAGCAGGUCAGGACUCCUGUGCUGAUCAGUAGUGGGAUCGCACCUAUGAAUAGCCACUGCACUCCAGCCUGGGCAACAUAGCAAGACCCUGUCUCU